This 429-nucleotide ribosomal RNA is filed under the name Pseudomonadota bacterium. RNAcentral describes it as "Proteobacteria bacterium partial 16S ribosomal RNA". It matches the Rfam family "Bacterial small subunit ribosomal RNA", at positions 355 to 776 of the family's 1533-position model. Lineage: Bacteria; Pseudomonadati; Pseudomonadota. The record is from RNAcentral.
UGGGGAAUAUUGGACAAUGGGCGAAAGCCUGAUCCAGCCAUGCCGCGUGUGUGAAGAAGGUCUUCGGAUUGUAAAGCACUUUAAGUUGGGAGGAAGGGCAGUAAGCGAAUACCUUGCUGUUUUGACGUUACCGACAGAAUAAGCACCGGCUAACUCUGUGCCAGCAGCCGCGGUAAUACAGAGGGUGCAAGCGUUAAUCGGAAUUACUGGGCGUAAAGCGCGCGUAGGUGGUUCGUUAAGUUGAAUGUGAAAGCCCCGGGCUCAACCUGGGAACUGCAUCCAAAACUGGCGAGCUAGAGUAGGGCAGAGGGUGGUGGAAUUUCCUGUGUAGCGGAGAAAUGCGUAGAUAUAGGAAGGAACACCAGUGGCGAAGGCGACCACCUGGGCUCAUACUGACACUGAGGUGCGAAAGCGUGGGGGGCAAACAGG